UAGGGGGCAAGCGUUAUCCGGUUUUACUGGGUGUAAAGGGAGCGUAGACGGCAGCGCAAGUCUGAAGUGAAAUCCCGCAGCUCAACUGCGGAACUGCUUUGGAAACUGUGCAGCUAGAGUGCAGGAGAGGUAAGCGGAAUUCCUAGUGUAGCGGUGAAAUGCGUAGAUAUUAGGAGGAACACCAGUGGCGAAGGCGGCUUACUGGACUGUAACUGACGUUGAGGCUCGAAAGCGUGGGGAGCAAA
Molecule: ribosomal RNA, 245 nt
Filed under: uncultured bacterium
Lineage: Bacteria
Description: partial 16S ribosomal RNA
Rfam family: Bacterial small subunit ribosomal RNA
Source: RNAcentral